AUGGCAGGUUCCGGAGUUGUUAGUUCUUGGGCUUCAUCGAUCGUGGGAGAUUUUCCAUCACCUAAGAAAAUGCAACAACCGUCACAAGAGGAGCAACAACAUCAGAAUGCACAUGAGGUUAAUGUUUCCAUGCCACCAUUUACUGGUCGUUUUAGGCCUGAUUUAUAUAUUCAAUGGGGGUACGAAAUAAAUGCUAUAUUUGCUUCCCACUCUUUUGAUGAGCAUGGAAAAUUUCAAGUUGCGGUUAGUACUUUCAGUAGCUUCGCUUUAGUUUGGUGGAGUGAAUACUGUCGGUUAAACCAUGAUUAUAUACCUACUACUUGGGAUGGUUUAAAACAUGUCAUGAGAGAUAGAUUCGUAGAUGUUUAUUAUACUCAUGGCAUGAUUAAAAACUAG
This 396-nucleotide ribosomal RNA is filed under the name Triticum aestivum (bread wheat). Its description in RNAcentral is "partial small subunit ribosomal RNA". The record is from RNAcentral. Lineage: Eukaryota; Viridiplantae; Streptophyta; Magnoliopsida; Poales; Poaceae.